Molecule: long non-coding RNA, 97 nt
Organism: Etheostoma spectabile (orangethroat darter)
Lineage: Eukaryota; Metazoa; Chordata; Actinopteri; Perciformes; Percidae
Exons: 3
Source: RefSeq, a predicted model, not a curated record
CACUUUAAGUGGACCAAAUUGACGAUGCACAUCUGCCCCAUAGGGUUACACUGCAGCCCGGUCUGUGGCUGCCGGUAGCAUGGUUUUAGCGUCAAUA